UACAGAGGGGGCAAGCGUUAUUCGGAAUUAUUGGGCGUAAAGAGCGUGUAGGCGGCCAGGUAGGUCUGCUGUGAAAACUCGAGGCUCAACCUCGAGACGUCGGCGGAAACCAUCUGGCUAGAGUCCGGAAGAGGAGAGUGGAAUUCCUGGUGUAGCGGUGAAAUGCGCAGAUAUCAGGAGGAACACCGGUGGCGAAGGCGGCAUCCUGGACCGGUAUUGACGCUGAGGCGCGAAAGCUAGGGGAGCAAACGGG
This 253-nucleotide ribosomal RNA is filed under the name uncultured bacterium. RNAcentral describes it as "partial 16S ribosomal RNA". It matches the Rfam family "Bacterial small subunit ribosomal RNA", at positions 524 to 776 of the family's 1533-position model. The record is from RNAcentral.